This is an RNA transcript of Haemorhous mexicanus (house finch), 3521 nucleotides long. It is a transcript of the gene named UDP-GlcNAc:betaGal beta-1,3-N-acetylglucosaminyltransferase like 1, with no coding region annotated. Lineage: Eukaryota; Metazoa; Chordata; Aves; Passeriformes; Fringillidae. The record is from RefSeq and is a predicted model, not a curated record. The transcript has 16 exons.
GCGGCGGCGAUGGCGGAGCCGCGGAGAGCCGGCGGGAGCCCCGAGCCCCCCGUGCAGGUGGUUUUACACAGAAGUAUCAUCAGCCCUUCAGCUCUGGGCCUUAGCUGGCAGGUGUCCAGCUCUGCAUGGUUCUGUGGAAGUAGGAUUUGCUCACAAUUAUGUGUUUAGGAGCAUGUUAAUAGAUUAUGAGCAGUUCAGUUCAGAGCACCUCAGUGCCACCAGUCUUUCAGGUGUGUUUUCCUGCUGUGUGUGCACCUCUGAACCAAGGGGCUGUAGGAGGAAAGCUGGGAUGGCAGAAUGUGGAGCUACAUCACAGAUCAACUUCCAAUGUGCUUCAGAGCAGUUGGAGUCUAUCAUUUUGCCUGUUCACAACAGUGAAUGCUGGUUAGAUGAGUGCCUGAAGUCAGUUUGGGAACAAGACUUUAAAGGAACCAUGGAGCUGUCUAUUUUUAAUGAUGCCAGUAAGGAUGGUUCAGCUGAAAUAAUUGAAAAAUGGAAGAUCAAGUUGGAGGAAGUUGGUGUUUCAGUAAUCAUUGGAACCAACAAUUCCUCUCAGCCUCGAGGUGUUGGAUUUGCUAAAAAUCAAGCAGUAAUUCAGAGCUCAGGAACCUAUCUCUGCUUUCUGGACUCAGAUGAUGUGAUGAUGCCACAGCGGGUUAGGCUGCAGCACCAAGUUGCCAUUCAACACCCAAACAGUAUUAUUGGCUGCCAAGUCAGAAGAGAGCCACUGGACUCCACUGAACGAUACACUCGCUGGAUCAAUAACCUCAGCCAGGAGCAGCUCCUUACACAGGUGUUCACCUCCCAUGGGCCUACGGUGGUCAUGCCAACCUGGUUCUGCUCUCGAGAGUGGUUUUUUCAUGUGGGAAGAUUUGAUGAGGGGGGAAAGGGUGUCCCAGAGGAUUUGUUGUUUUUUUAUGACCAUCUCCAGAAGGGUGGGGGAGUCUUUCGAGUGAACCAUUGCCUCCUGCUGUACCGGUACCACCCCCAGGCUGCCACUCACUCUGUCCUAGAGGAAACCAUCUGGAAUCACCGAGUCAGGUUCCUUGAGGACAGAGUCCUGAGCUCCUGGACAUCAUUCACCAUUUGGAAUGCUGGCAAGCAAGGCAAGAAGCUCUACAGAAGCUUGUCACCAGCUAAUCAGAAAAAGGUAACUGCAUUUUGUGAUGUCGAUGAAAAGAAAAUAACCAAAGGAUUCUACACUUAUGAGGAAUCUGAGAGUUUAGCAGCUCCUAAAACCAAGCUGGCAAGUAACCUGAGUGCUUCUGUACCCCUUCCUCCUGCAGGAGAGACCAAAACCAAAAAUUCCUGUGUGUCACUUCAGGGAUGCAACUCCACCCUUCGUGAUCUGUGUCAAGCUGGACUUGACAGGGGGAGCCUUUGAAGCAAACCUGGCCACGCUGAACCUGAAGGAAGGGGUGGAUUAUUAUCACUUUAACUAAAGCAAGGGACACUUGAUGCUUGGGGAUGAUUUCAGUAUCACUGAGUGUUGCCAUUCUCACCUCUGAAAAAGAAAUCUUGAAGAGAUCAGUGCAGCAGAGGCAGUGCUGCAAUGCUGUGUCUGCACCAGCUCAUGUCAUCAUCUUUGCUGCUGAAAUGGAGAAGUUCCUGUCUCUUCCCCUUCCCCAGGAAGGGCAGAGGAGCAGUGGCUGCACAUCUGUGUCUGGAAUGUGGCGCUGCCAGCCUGGAAUGCUCUCUGGAAUGGGGCUGCAAGGGCCUCAGGCAGCAGCUCCAGCCAUCCCACGUGUUCUGCAGCUGGCUGGGAACAUCCUCAGGGACACCUCCAUGAAAAAAGCACCCCCUGGAGCACAUUCCCACCUCACCUUGGCCACCAGCUGGGGUCUGGGCACUCUCAAGAGGUCGCAGAGGCAGUUCCGUCUCUCCCUCACCACGGGCAGCUCUGCUUCCCUGGGAGAGCAAAGGUUAUUUCCAGUUCAUUCAGAGAAAUCCACAAAACCCCCUCAGUGAUCCCUGUCACCCCUGCACCACACUGGGUGGCUCCUUUCAUGCACAUUUCAAAUGGCAGGAGUUUUUGGUUGUGUCACAUCUGAAGGCUAAUGGACCAUUUCUGUACCACCCUAAGUCAGAUAAACCACAAAUACACACCAGGUCUGCCACAGGUCUAUAAAAUGUCUAUUUUUAGUUAAUAUCAGCCACUGGCUAAUAAAAUGUCCAACACUAUUCUUUUACAGAGUUUUAUAUUAAAAAAAACAGUUAUUUGUACAACUCUUUCAACUCUUUUGAUUAGAAGUUCAUUUAAUUUUUCUCUAAAGUGAUUGGAUUUGGAGAAGACCCUCCCAUCCCCCUCUUAAGGAAAAAGCAAAAAAGGGUGAGUUAGAAAUAACUUCAACCUUUUUUUUCACACCUUGGACAAUUUGUCUUAUUUACCACUAGAAACUUUCCUGUGGCUAAACAAAGUGUAUUAUUUAUAGAGUAAUUUGUUUAAACUCUGCAUGACACAAUUGUUUGAUAAAGUCUCUGGAGUCCCAACAAGGAAAAUAUGUGCAUCCCAUAAUUACCAUAACUCCUUCAAAUUCUCAUUUGGCUUCCUGCUGCUAAUACUUGGGGUAAUUCAGAAUUUAGACUGAUUAUUUUAGCACUGGGACAGCGUGAGGAAAACAAGCAGCUCACUGUGACACUCAGCAACUACUUCCAAUCUCUUUUUCUGUAAAUAGCUCAAAUCUACCAAGAUAAAACAAUUAAGUUUUGAGUAAAUGAGCUCUUUGUCUUUCAUCUCAGAGCUGUGGCCACAGUGCAGCAGGGCACUCAGGGCUUGCUCCAAGCCAGAAUAAGCCAGGCACACCCUAAAAAUGACAGGGUGAAAGCAGAAUAUUCAUUUCCCUGGAGUGUUCUUCUGGGGAAGUGUUUUGCUUUGAUUUAGGAACACAGUUGUUUGUGAGCUGAACUGCCACUGCUUUUCCUGUACUGGCCCUGGAACCAUCCCUGGGUGACAGCACUCAGCUCAUCCUGCAGAGUCAGCUAACAAAUCCCUUAUGCAAUUCCUGCCCUUAAAUGCAGGUUUGCUGAUGGAGCUCUGAGUCACACCCAACUCAAUCCUAAACUUCCACCUGCAGUUAAACAAGGAAUUGGAACUGCUGGCAACCUCUCCUUCACACCUGAGACUCUUGUCCAGUUUUGCACUGGAAAAUUCAGGAAAAAAAAGCAGCAGCCACCCCUCCUAAUGAUAAACUCAGCUUUCUUUACACAAAUUUAAAGUUCUUUAAGCUCAAGCACAGAAAUAAACUGGAAACUACACAGAAGUCAAGCAGUGUGACUGCAAUCUGCAACUCUGUCAGCCACCCUAAAGGUGUAUUAGUCCUUUGAGCUUGUCUGGGGUAAACUUAUUUCUAUGAAAUGUCAAUGAAUACAAGAAGCUAUUUAAUAUAAUGACAAAAUAAAUUAUAUAUUUUUCUGUAUUUGUCUGUUCUCUGUGACUUGGGGCAGCUCCAUGGGCCAGGUCUGUGACAAGGAAAAAUGCUUAACAAGGCAGCAAAACUAAUAAACUAAUUAUUAUCUUAAAA